CAAGGAAUAGUUUAAUUAAAAUUUUAAUUUUGGAGAUUAAAGAUAAGAGUAUUUCUUUUCCUUGA
Molecule: transfer RNA, 65 nt
Filed under: Brephilydia jejuna
Lineage: Eukaryota; Metazoa; Arthropoda; Insecta; Coleoptera; Cerambycidae
Description: tRNA-Pro
Source: RNAcentral